GAUGAACGCUGGCGGCGUGCCUAAUACAUGCAAGUCGAGCGAACAGACGAGGAGCUUGCUCCUCUGACGUUAGCGGCGGACGGGUGAGUAACACGUGGAUAACCUACCUAUAAGACUGGGAUAACUUCGGGAAACCGGAGCUAAUACCGGACAAUAUAUUGAACCGCAUGGUUCAAUAGUGAAAGACGGUUUUGCUGUCACUUAUAGAUGGAUCCGCGCCGCAUUAGCUAGUUGGUAAGGUAACGGCUUACCAAGGCAACGAUGCGUAGCCGACCUGAGAGGGUGAUCGGCCACACUGGAACUGAGACACGGUCCAGACUCCUACGGGAGGCAGCAGUAGGGAAUCUUCCGCAAUGGGCGAAAGCCUGACGGAGCAACGCCGCGUGAGUGAUGAAGGUCUUCGGAUCGUAAAACUCUGUUAUUAGGGAAGAACAAAUGUGUGAGUAACUAUGCACGUCUUGACGGUACCUAAUCAGAAAGCCACGGCUAACUACGUG
This 497-nucleotide ribosomal RNA is filed under the name uncultured bacterium. RNAcentral describes it as "partial 16S ribosomal RNA". It matches the Rfam family "Bacterial small subunit ribosomal RNA", at positions 28 to 507 of the family's 1533-position model. The record is from RNAcentral.